This 500-nucleotide ribosomal RNA is filed under the name uncultured bacterium. RNAcentral's name for it is "partial 16S ribosomal RNA". It matches the Rfam family "Bacterial small subunit ribosomal RNA", at positions 30 to 523 of the family's 1533-position model. The record is from RNAcentral.
AUUGAACGCUGGCGGCAUGCCUUACACAUGCAAGUCGAACGGCAGCACGGGAGCAAUCCUGGUGGCGAGUGGUGAACGGGUGAGUAAUGUAUCGGAACGUGCCCAGUCGUGGGGGAUAACGUAGCGAAAGCUACGCUAAUACCGCAUACGAUCUGUGGAUGAAAGCGGGGGACCGUAAGGCCUCGCGCGAUUGGAGCGGCCGAUAUCAGAUUAGGUAGUUGGUGGGGUAAAGGCCUACCAAGCCGACGAUCUGUAGCUGGUCUGAGAGGACGACCAGCCACACUGGGACUGAGACACGGCCCAGACUCCUACGGGAGGCAGCAGUGGGGAAUUUUGGACAAUGGGCGCAAGCCUGAUCCAGCAAUGCCGCGUGCAGGAUGAAGGCCUUCGGGUUGUAAACUGCUUUUGUACGGAGCGAAAAGGCUCUCUCUAAUACAGGGGGCUCAUGACGGUACCGUAAGGAUAAGCACCGGCUAACUACGUGCCAGCAGCCGCCGCCG